Molecule: long non-coding RNA, 2316 nt
Organism: Equus asinus (donkey)
Lineage: Eukaryota; Metazoa; Chordata; Mammalia; Perissodactyla; Equidae
Source: Ensembl
CAGACUGUUCUAUCAGCUUUAGCUGAAAAGUGAAGACGAGUAGCAGAGGCACACCCUACCAGCAACAUUCAUGUGACACGAGUGCUCAUGUUCAUGGGAGAAACAACCUUUAUUGUCGUAAGCCACUGAGAUUUUGAAGUUUGUUACUGAAGCAUAACCUAGACUCUCCUUACUGAUUCAACUUCAUUUUAGAGUGGCUUCUAGUUGGUAAUAGCAAAAGAGGAGGCAUUUCAAUGCCAUCAGUAAUGUACCUCCAAAUCCCACGGUGGGAUGGCUUAUUUAGGUGACAGUCUCAUACGCAAAGCUAGGCACAACCAGAGUAGGUGGAUUUUUCUUUUCAUCUCUGAGUCUUUUCCCAUCCAAUUUGGGCAAAGUCAUUCUCAUCCAUUCAUUUCACAAAUAUUGAGAGUCAACAAAAUGCGAGGCAUUGUGCAACAAACCAGAUAAACACCGUGCCUGUCUCAGUAGAGGUUUUAUUCUAGUGGAAAAGACAGACAAAUAAUUACACUGAUUUAAAAGCAACUGUGAUAAAAUGCUUAGAUGAUGAAGUCCAGGGUGAGUGUGGACCAUGUAACAGUGGACUUGACAGGGUCUGCGUCAUCUUUCUCUUCCAUGCCCCCAGAAAUAAGUGUGUUGCCUAAAGUUACUCAACCAGUAAAAGAGAGAGAACUAGAACCAUGUCUUCUUACUUUGGCCUUCUGUGGUCUUUGGACCAAACCUUGGAAUGCACCUUCUAUUUGAGCCAAUAACCCUGUUUUCACUAUUUAUAAUCAUUGGAAGAGCCAACUGGAAUUUGGAGGAAUCACCAUACCCAUUUCAGAUUUUUAAAAAUAUUCAAAACACAAGUACCACUGAUACUGGGUGAGUUGAACCAUCCCCAUUCCCAAAGGUUGAUGCUAUAUCCUUGAUUUUUACAAGCAUCACUAAACUAAAACACUCAACACACCCAUGUUGGGCCACAUAGAUGUGUUGGCAUGUGUUGGUCUUGCUUCAUAAUAGCAUUUCAACAGUAACAGCAACACAGCCAAGUGGGUGCUUUCCUAUAUGGGUUGAAACAUUUUGUCUGAAAGCGAUAAUCUUCAAUAUUGCAAUUUUGUCAAAUUCUUUUAUUUUACCAUAAUCCAGGAAUUAUCCCAAUUUGUCAUUAUUCAAUUCAACGCAAGUUUCCUUCGUACUUACUAUGAGCCAAAUUCUAGGGACACAAAGAAAAAUAGGACUCAGUCUCUGCUCUAAAGGAACUCACAGUCCAGUAGUUAACUCAUUAACAAACGAAGAACUUCGAUUAUCGGCCACUUAUUCUUCACACUUCUUUCCAAACCCAAAGCUCUCCUAGCAUGCUGACACAAAGGACCAUCAAGAGAAGUCACAUUGGAUUUUACUUCUUCAUUUCGCUUUCUUAGCACUCGUCUUCCUUCAUAACUUCAAGAUGGGCUCGACAAUAUGACCCUCCAUUAAAAUCCAACUCCUUGGCACCACAGGGCUUGGGAAGAUCAAUCAUGGAGGCAAUCUUGGUAAUCCAAAGAUGGGCACCCCUAUUUGGACCUGCCUCUACCAAGAUGUGUGUUGAAGUCCCUAAGCCUUGUUUCUUUUCUGGGGGUUUUGUUUGCUCGUUUGUAAGAUCCGCCUGAAAGGCUCAGCUUUGUUUCAGCACCAAGAUUGCUUUCCUUGCUUUGAAAUAUCUAUACCUAGCUACUACUUCUAAAAAAAAGUUACUUAAGCAUUCCAAGAAGCCGUCUUGCAGUACGGUUUUGACUCAGCAGGUACGGAAGCAAUGAUGGUCCACUGGUAUUUCCUGUUUCCCCAGAGUCCCAGAGCUCGUGAAGGAAUGUGUAAGACGACACCACGCUGGCUUUCCAGUGGGAGCGUCCUUCCUGAACGGUGUCGCCAGGCAACCCCAGGUGUGACGUGAGCCCGUCCGCGUGCAAACUGAUUACGGUGCAAGAACUCGGCCCGGGACUCCCUGCCAACGUGGGGCACUGACAUUUCGUGGUGUUCUCCCUUGCCCUCGAGCCUCCCUCCGGUUCCUCACGGUGCCACUUCAAAGAGCUCAGUCCCAAUAUCCAAACCAAUGGCCAUUCUGGAAGGGCUGCCAGGGUCAGACUUCCAGAAAGCCAGGACUGCUCGGGUGCCGUCUGGGCAAAGCCACGUCACUCUUCUCUGGGUUUCCAAACGGCCCACGGCCGGAUAGCUCGGGUCGCAUCCGAGACUCCAGGGCCUGUCACGACAUCAUCGACGGCCGUGGACCACACUGCGUCUGGGAACGGCGGGGUCGCGACCUGUCCCUCCCUACUCGACAGCGACCUCCCGCACUGGGCC